GGCCUAGUAGAGAAAUGGCUAACUCAUCGGACUUCUAAUCCGAAGAUUUUCGGUUCGAGUCCGGCCUAGGUCU
Molecule: transfer RNA, 73 nt
Filed under: Coniochaeta sp. 2T2.1
Lineage: Eukaryota; Fungi; Ascomycota; Sordariomycetes; Coniochaetales; Coniochaetaceae
Rfam family: tRNA
About the family: Transfer RNA (tRNA) molecules are approximately 80 nucleotides in length. Their secondary structure includes four short double-helical elements and three loops (D, anti-codon, and T loops).
Source: Rfam by way of RNAcentral